This 497-nucleotide ribosomal RNA is filed under the name uncultured bacterium. RNAcentral's name for it is "partial 16S ribosomal RNA". It matches the Rfam family "Bacterial small subunit ribosomal RNA", at positions 28 to 523 of the family's 1533-position model. The record is from RNAcentral.
GACGAACGCUGGCGGCGUGCUUAACACAUGCAAGUCGAACGGAGCACCCUUGAAUGAGACUUCGGUCAAAGGAAAGGAAUGCUUAGUGGCGGACUGGUGAGUGACGCGUGAGGAACCUGCCUUUCAGAGGGGGACAACAGUUGGAAACGACUGCUAAUACCGCAUGACGCAUUCGGAUGGCAUCAUCUGAAUGCCAAAGAUUUAUCGCUGAAAGAUGGCCUCGCGUCUGAUUAGAUAGUUGGCGGGGUAACGGCCCACCAAGUCGACGAUCAGUAGCCGGACUGAGAGGUUGACCGGCCACAUUGGGACUGAGAUACGGCCCAGACUCCUACGGGAGGCAGCAGUGGGGAAUAUUGGGCAAUGGGCGCAAGCCUGACCCAGCAGCGCCGCGUGAAGGAAGAAGGCUUUCGGGUUGUAAACUUCUUUUAAGAGGGAAGAGCAGAAGACGGUACCUCUUGAAUAAGCCACGGCUAACUACGUGCCAGCCGCCGCCGUAA